AGUCAUUGGAACCAGUUCUGUGUUACAGACCACCUGAUCAAAGGCAGAGCGAGGCCACUCACACCUGGAUAGAGAGAUGAAGCUUGAAGUGGAAACUUGGAGCAAAUUGCACCAUGACAGCUACAUACAGAGAAAGAGCUUGCAUGUUUGGAAUCACAGAAAAGAAACAUGCUGUGUCUUGAAAGGUUCAGUACUGACUGUGUGCAAUGCAUGUGAAGCACCUGCACCAAGUCAUGGAGCCGAUUACAAAUGUGCUGACUUCAGAGGCUUUGGGACAGUUUCAGAGAGUUGAAGUCAUUCCUUUAUGUUUCUGCAACGUUCAGAAGAGCAAGGAGGGAGCUGUGAGUCAUGCAUAAUGAAUUCCUGGUACAGAGCAGGACUCCAAGGUGGAAUGCUCUCAAAGGCCCUUCUAAGGAUCAUUACUGCUGCACAUUUUACUGAAGUCCAAAAGGAAGGAGUGGAAGUCAGAAGCCAAAGUGAUUCUGCUAGUGUCUGCAGAUGUUUCUACAAGAAUAAGAGAAAGUGCCAGAGAGGCAGCGGUGGAAACAAGGAAGAGUACGUCUGGCUUUCUGAAGGGAAUCUUUGUUUUUUCUUCAAUAAUUAUUUGCAUAAGUGCCGGCCUCAGAGUGGGUUUAAUGCCUUAAAACAGAAUUUCAGGUGA
RNAcentral lists this long non-coding RNA (661 nucleotides) under Coturnix japonica (Japanese quail). RNAcentral's name for it is "lncRNA (ENSCJPG00005003321.1)". Lineage: Eukaryota; Metazoa; Chordata; Aves; Galliformes; Phasianidae. The record is from RNAcentral.